This 42-nucleotide non-coding RNA is filed under the name Cryptomonas curvata. Lineage: Eukaryota; Cryptophyceae; Cryptomonadales; Cryptomonadaceae. The record is from RNAcentral.
GUACCUGACCCGCGCCGCGGGCCAGAUCGUCGCCAGCCAGCC